Molecule: long non-coding RNA, 1588 nt
Filed under: Homo sapiens (human)
Lineage: Eukaryota; Metazoa; Chordata; Mammalia; Primates; Hominidae
Description: non-protein coding lnc-TGFBRAP1-1:2
Source: RNAcentral
CUUGACACAGUAAGUGUUUAAGAACUGGUAGCUGAUUUUUACAAAGUUAUGGGUCAUAGAAGGCAGUUUAGAGAAAAGGGCAGGCUUUGGAGUAGCUCAGUUGUAUUAUAACCUUGGCUUCUUUACUCACCUAGGACAUACAUUCUCUCUUUAGCUGUAGCUUCCUCCCUUCUGAGAUGGAAAUUAUAAGCCAUCUCACAGUGUUGUGAGGAUUGGAGCUCAAGUGUGUAAAAUGCCUCCUCUGUGGGCUCUCCUUGGAGAGUUCUUGUAUCCUAUUGAUUGUCAUCAAAGGAAAAAAGUGGCAGGAUGAUGGCAUAAGUGGGAAGAACCUUGAGUUUAAUAGUCUGAAAAAGUGGUUACAGGUUCUUGCUAUGCUUUUCCUCUCUGUGGUUUUCUGAACCCAUCGCCUAACCUGAAGCCUUAAACUUCAUCUGCAAAAAUGUUUUGUGGCAGGUGACUCUGAAGCAGAACUCUUGAGAUGGAAGGAUUGUCAUCUGAGGAAAAAAAAUCAAGAUUAAGAGAGGAGGAACUAGAAUGAGAUUCACAUACCGUCUCUCCUCCAAGGGAAGGAGAGAGUGGUGAUGCCUGCCCACUCCUUCCUGGGCAGAACAUUUGUAGCAUGGAACAUUGGAGAAUUUGCAGUCUGCUGACUUUCUGAUUUAGGAGGUUGAUGGGGAGGCCUUAUAAUUUGCAUUUCUAACAAGUUCUGAGGUGAUGCUUCAAGUAUGUCCAGGCAGAAGGGCUGCCUCACAGAGAAUUCUGCCAUACCACAUGGGAAUUGAAGUCACAGACAUCUCUAACCCUCAAGCCUGAAACCAAAAGACUGAAAACCAACACUACAGUGGACAAAGAACAUCUCUGAACUUGUGUGGGGACCAGUGACACAAGGACCUAAGGUCUCUCUCUUCUCAUCUUGGCACUUCAGAAGUCUCCCCAAUCUUGACAAAGCCCUGGAGAAAGGGCCGGGCCUCCCGUUGAUAAGAAUAUCACUGCAGAUAAAUGGAGGUUUCAAAUUGAAAGAAAGGAGGAGGGCCUCCUGUUGAUAAGAUUAUUGUCACUGCAGGUAAAUGGAGGCUUCAAAUAGAAAUACAUUUCAGUUACAGAAAAAAAAAUUAUCUUUGUUACACAUUUGAGUUUGCAGGCCUAAGGUUACUCCCGCUACACUAUCAUCUGUAACCAUAACGCACUCAACAUUUUAAGCUAACUAUAAGGAUUGUUGCUUCACUCAAAGAUCCUGAGGUUUUAUUCACUAACAUUUUUAUUUGGUGACUAUAGUUGACAAGAACAAAGCUGUGGGGAACCAACAAACACUGCAAUGCCUGGCAUUGUCACCUCACUAGAUUGUGAGUUCCUCUGGGACAGGGUCCGUACAUUUUCUUAGAAUCCCUCACUUAGCCAUUAGCCUGCACAGUGCUUGUACUUAGUAAGUGCUCAGUAAAUGUUUGUGGAAUGAAUGCAUGAUGAACAAAAUAUAUACUGAGGACUCUUGGUGUUGAUUCUUGUUGAUAAUGUAAUAGUUAAGAUAUGUUAUAAAUAUGUUAUAAAUAUUGUAUCAAAAUAUUGUAUCAAAAAUAUACUUGAACAGGCU